CUCUCUGUCGGGCCCGGCCGCCGCUCUGCGCUACGCUCAUGGGGUGGCGAGCGCUGAUGCGCCGUGGCAUCGUCGCAGCGGGGCUUCGUAUCGUUCCCGAACAUGUCGACAUCUGCUCUGUGUAUGACAGCCAGUUGAUCAUUUCAAUACGGCGUUUUGGACCCAUGGCUCGUUGUGUGUGGACAGAGGGUUAGCAGGGGGGGAGGGCGACGGGUGCAGGUCACAGGGUAGACUGAGGGGUGAUGGGAGGAUGUAGAUGUUGGGUCUCCACAGGCCCCCUGCAGUGGGGAUGAAACUCUUUUCAGAACGAGGCCAGAUUAGUGUCUCAACACCCCCCCACAUGCACACGCGCGCACACACACAGGUCACCCUCCUCCCUCCACAUUGUGGUGAUCAUCACUUUCCAACAGAACGUCUAGAUUAAAUCCUCCCCAGCUUUGUUUUAUUGGAGCACAGUCAGGACAAAGACCUCAGGCUUGCUGAUUCUCGGCCUGGAAAACCUUUUACAUGUUAUAUGUUUUGCAUCGACAGCUUCUGGUAAUCUCCUCUGAUAGAUGAUCAGACAUAAUAUUUCCAAUUAAUCCCAAAUCCACACACACACAAUGAUAAUGAAUACAUCUGGGGUUAUUUUUUAAUUAAAAAAGACAAACAUGGGACCAACUGAGGGGGAUUUCCCAAACAAAGGCCAUGUGUAAGGAUUGGGGCUCUUGGCGCUAGAUUCCUGUACAAGUUUUCAAAUUGGUCAGGAUUUUAUGACGGAUUAUUCCAUGCUGGUGAUGUAAAAAACAGUCUGUCUGCCGUAUAUCUCUGUGGAUCCCUGUUUUAGGAACUUUUAGCCCUGCGUGUUUCUUCCCUUCCCCCACUAUGGUCCCAUACAGCUGCACCUGCUGUGCCCGUAAAUUCAAAUAAUCCCACAAAAUGAUUUAGUGUGUUAUCCACCCAAUCACAAACGAGGAGGAGAAGUGGAGUUGGGUACGUCAGACAAGCAGAUGUUCCUUCCACAUCUGAAACAAAAAGUCAAUGGUGAUUCAUUUGUCAUGUACCUUAUGUACUUCAGUAACGGUUUCCUCAAUAGUUGCGUUGCUUUGACCCAACAGAGUUUUCAUGAUCUUUUCCCAAACUUACUUCCUCAACCUAAAAAAAGUAGUUUUGUCCCUAAUGUUUUCCCCUAAUUAAGGUAGUUUAUUUUGCAAAGGAAAACACACACACACAAAAAAUAGGAGUAUGAUUAUUUCUUGAGGGAGACGUUGAGCUUUUCAAAUGCCAUAUAGUCCAAAUAUAUUUAAAAAGUUCGCUUUUUUUACUGCAGUAACAACACCAUUGCAAUGCAAUCCUGACUGAUCACUUGCACUACAGGUAAGAGGAGAAAUAUUUGUGUGGAUUUUGAGCUCUGUCAUCACUGCUGCCUUAGUCACUGCUAGCGCCACCAUCUGGGCUCCUCCAUGUUUGCUUUGCUCAGGUAGAGAUGACUGCUACUGGCUUACUUGUAUUAUUAUUAUUUACGUAUAUGGAUUAUGAUGUGACCCUCAAAAACCCCAAUGUCAGCCACACAUAUUACUCACCGUGUGUCGACCCUGCAGGGCCGAUAUCGCAUCGUGAGUUGAAGAAUUGUAAUCGCUCUGAAGCUUUACUACAACUUCAAUAACAAGGAAGCGCAGACAGGAUGAAAAACUCCACGUUGUGUCACACGACCUAAAUCGGAGCAGCACUUACGCAACAGAACUCAAUCGUCCCCCUGAGUGUGUCUGUGUAUAUAGUAUCUAUAAAUAAUAACUACCUAUCUACAGACAGACCUAUAGACGUUUGAAGCUGCGACACUGUGUGUGUGUGUGUGUGUGUGUGUGAGGGCAAUGUGACGCCAGUAGAGGGUGUAUGAGACUGUCUCCCUCCCCACGUUGAUUCUAUGCCCUGCUAUUACAUAAUGACUCCGUCUGUGCAAGCUUGCGUGUAUCUUUGUGUGCGUGUACAUAUAUUUAUAUAUAUAUAUAUAUACAUGUGUACUUGUGCUCUGCGCAUGCUCUUUCCUUUGUCCUGAGGGCACUGUCGACAAGCAUCAGCAUUAGAGAUGUGUCUCUCGCUCCACUGACCAUGAGCUCACACACACACACACACACGCACACACACACCUUCAGGCAUGACAAUUGCUUCAUUAAACUUCCAGCACAGCGGUGGGAUAGAAAGGUAGACUGACAAAAUGUAAUGAAAAGCAUCCGAGCUUAAAACAACGAUCACAAACCUGUAAAAAGAAGGGGAGAGCUGAGUGAUAAUGAAUACUUUAUAGGCCAGUUGUGUGUCUACUCCAUGAACAUUUUUAGUUCUGAUCACUUAAGGACACAACCUGAAUGUGGCUGAGGGUCUGUAACCACAACGACACUUCUGGCAUAUUGUCUCCUGUUCCAAUGUCUCUACUCUCAGGAUGACUUACUGAUUUGUUGUAAAACCUGCAAGAACGACCAUUGGAGACAUCUAAAUGUACGAGCCAUAUUCCAGAGUUCACUCACAUCUCAUGGCCUUUGUCAGCAGAAGGAUAAGCGCUCAGUUGUCAUACGGCCUCGUAUAAUACAAUUGACAGUGGAACCAUAUCCAUGAAAACUAAGCAGACUCCAUGCCGUGAUGACACCCUCGAUGGAGAUGGACCGUGCCAUGAGAUAUGACUAAAAGCCCAAAGACAGAUCUACUAAGGGGACAUUUUUUCAUUGAACCUGUAAGCUCCAUUUUAAGAGGUCAGCUGUAUCAUAAACUGAUACUUUAGCGCAAAGGGCAACGUUCGCAAUAUCGGUGUUUCCGUAUGUUGAAACAUUGACAAUAAAAUGUACUUAGUGGUUAUUUACUUCGUGCUUCAUGUGUUCUAGGUAUCUGACAUCCCGCUUCUAAGCCUUUAUUUUGAAGUCCGCUCGCUGGAUUUCCGGUACCGCCGCGGCCUGAAUGCCGGCGCGUGACGCUUCUCGUCGCGGGCCUGUUUGCGUUGUAGUCGCGCUGAGAAGAGGACCAGUUAGUCCACCGACGGGACUCCGUCCACGAUGCUGCGAGCCGAGUAGUUCUCCACCGGCCCCUCUUUGUUCGGCUCCCGCACGUUACCCGACGCUGGAACCCGAUGAAUGGAGUUACUUUUUGCCUUGUUGGAAUCCCGCCUCCCGCAGAAACUGAAGUAAGUCCGAAGCUGUACGCGUUGUCUCGCGGUAUUGUGUGUUUUUAUUCUGCUCCUGUCCGGUGUUUCACUUUGAAACUUUCAUUGGUUUCCCCCGGUGGUCAACGAGCACAUCUUAACGCGUGUUCACUUUAUUGUUACCUGUAAUAACGGGGUCGUGUCAGAGGAUGUAACGUCUGUCACGGCUCUGCCGUUGGCCCAGCGGUCACAGAGCGCGUGUCAGGUGGGGGAACUUCGGUCUCCUCCCGGGACACGCCCCGCGGGCGCCCCGCGGGGCACCGCGGGGAGGUUCUCCCGCACUUCUCCGUGGGUUAUUACGCAACUUGUCAGAUCCAACACAAAACGCGCCAGCUGUUCAACCACCUAACGUGAAGCGACGAAUGCGUGAUGAAUUGACGGUGCUACGUUCAAUGACACACCUUCCUCUCCACCCUCUCCACCACCACCAGCGGAUCACA
Gasterosteus aculeatus aculeatus (three-spined stickleback) is the source of this 3606-nucleotide long non-coding RNA. NCBI's taxonomy places the organism in Eukaryota, Metazoa, Chordata, Actinopteri, Perciformes, Gasterosteidae. The record is from Ensembl.